Molecule: ribosomal RNA, 253 nt
Filed under: uncultured bacterium
Lineage: Bacteria
Description: partial 16S ribosomal RNA
Rfam family: Bacterial small subunit ribosomal RNA
Source: RNAcentral
GACGAACCGUGCGAACGUUGUUCGGAAUCACUGGGCUUAAAGGGCGCGUAGGCGGUCAGAGGGGUCCCGGGUGAAAGCCCCCAGCUUAACUGGGGAAGUGCCCGGGAUACCGCCUGACUCGAGGGGGGUAGGGGCGUGUGGAACUUCCGGUGGAGCGGUGAAAUGCGUAGAUAUCGGAAGGAACGCCGGUGGCGAAAGCGGCACGCUGGACCCCUUCUGACGCUGAGGCGCGAAAGCCAGGGGAGCAAACGGG